UGCAAGUCGAGCGAAUGAUGAAGAAGCUUGCUUCUUCUGAUUUAGCGGCGGACGGGUGAGUAACACGUGGGCAACCUGCCCUGUAGAUUGGGAUAACUCCGGGAAACCGGGGCUAAUACCGAAUAAUCCAUUUCCUCACAUGAGGAGAUGUUAAAAGACGGUUUCUGCUGUCACUACAGGAUGGGCCCGCGGCGCAUUAGCUAGUUGGUGGGGUAAUGGCUCACCAAGGCGACGAUGCGUAGCCGACCUGAGAGGGUGAUCGGCCACAUUGGGACUGAGACACGGCCCAAUUCU
RNAcentral lists this ribosomal RNA (294 nucleotides) under Bacillus sp. 210-4.1-LH-Heh(s)-05. Its description in RNAcentral is "partial 16S ribosomal RNA". It matches the Rfam family "Bacterial small subunit ribosomal RNA", at positions 56 to 338 of the family's 1533-position model. The record is from RNAcentral. Lineage: Bacteria; Bacillati; Bacillota; Bacilli; Caryophanales; Bacillaceae.